Long non-coding RNA from Strongylocentrotus purpuratus (purple sea urchin), 156 nucleotides. RefSeq lists it as uncharacterized. The record is from RefSeq and is a predicted model, not a curated record. The transcript has 2 exons. Lineage: Eukaryota; Metazoa; Echinodermata; Echinoidea; Camarodonta; Strongylocentrotidae.
CACAUUAGCAGGAGAAAAUUUUCCAGAACAUCACAGGAUUUUAAAAGUAUAAUUACGUUUUGAUCUGUCAAUAAUAAGCUGCAGGUUAAUGAUUUUUCAGUUCACAUUUAGUCAGUCUCUAUAUACGUGUACAGUAUAUACAUAGAUAAGUACAAC